ACGGAGUAUGCGUUGUUCGGAAUCACUGGGCGUAAAGGGCGCGUAGGCGGCUUGAUAAGUCGGGGGUGAAAGCCUGUGGCUCAACCACAGAAUUGCCUUCGAUACUGUCUGGCUUGAGACCGGAAGAGGUAAGUGGAACUGCGAGUGUAGAGGUGAAAUUCGUAGAUAUUCGCAAGAACACCAGUGGCGAAGGCGGCUUACUGGUCCGGUUCUGACGCUGAGGCGCGAAAGCGUGGGGGAGCAAACAGGGAUUAGAUACCCCUGGUAGUCCACGCCGUAAACGAUGAAUGCCAGCCGAUU
Molecule: ribosomal RNA, 300 nt
Filed under: Microvirga guangxiensis
Lineage: Bacteria; Pseudomonadati; Pseudomonadota; Alphaproteobacteria; Hyphomicrobiales; Methylobacteriaceae
Description: bacterial SSU rRNA
Rfam family: Bacterial small subunit ribosomal RNA
Source: RNAcentral